RNAcentral lists this ribosomal RNA (496 nucleotides) under uncultured bacterium. Its description in RNAcentral is "partial 16S ribosomal RNA". It matches the Rfam family "Bacterial small subunit ribosomal RNA", at positions 356 to 867 of the family's 1533-position model. The record is from RNAcentral.
GGGGAAUAUUGCACAAUGGGCGAAAGCCUGAUGCAGCAACGCCGCGUGAGUGAUGAAGGUCUUCGGAUUGUAAAGCUCUGUCUUUUGGGACGAUAAUGACGGUACCAAAGGAGGAAGCCACGGCUAACUACGUGCCAGCAGCCGCGGUAAUACGUAGGUGGCGAGCGUUGUCCGGAUUUACUGGGCGUAAAGGGUGCGUAGGCGGAUGUUUAAGUGAGAUGUGAAAUACCCGGGCUUAACUUGGGUGCUGCAUUUCAAACUGGAUAUCUAGAGUGCAGGAGAGGAGAAUGGAAUUCCUAGUGUAGCGGUGAAAUGCGUAGAGAUUAAGGAAGAACACCAGUGGCGAAGGCGAUUCUCUGGACUGUAACUGACGCUGAGGCACGAAAGCGUGGGUAGCAAACAGGAUUAGAUACCCUGGUAGUCCACGCCGUAAACGAUGAGUACUAGGUGUAGGAGGUAUCGACCCCUUCUGUGCCGCAGUAAACACAUUAAGUAC